GAGUUUGAUCUUGGCUCAGAUUGAACGCUGGCGGCAGGCUUAACACAUGCAAGUCGAGCGGGGGAGAUUGCUUCGGUAAUUGACCUAGCGGCGGACGGGUGAGUAAUACUUAGGAAUCUGCCUAUUAAUGGGGGACAACAUCUCGAAAGGGAUGCUAAUACCGCAUACGCCCUACGGGGAAAGCAGGGGAUCACUUGUGACCUUGCGUUAAUAGAUGAGCCUAAGUCGGAUUAGCUAGUUGGUGGGGUAAAGGCCUACCAAGGCGACGAUCUGUAGCGGGUCUGAGAGGAUGAUCCGCCACACUGGGACUGAGACACGGCCCAGACUCCUACGGGAGGCAGCAGUGGGGAAUAUUGGACAAUGGGGGGAACCCGUGAUCCAGCCAUGCCGCGUGUGUGAGAAGGCCUUAUGGUUGUAAAGCACUUUAAGCGAGGAGGAGGCUCCUGUAGUUAAUACCUACAGAGAGUGGACGUUACUCGCAGAAUAAGCACCGGCUAACUCUGUGCCAGCA
RNAcentral lists this ribosomal RNA (511 nucleotides) under uncultured microorganism. RNAcentral's name for it is "bacterial SSU rRNA". It matches the Rfam family "Bacterial small subunit ribosomal RNA", at positions 9 to 513 of the family's 1533-position model. The record is from RNAcentral.